AACGAACGCUGGCGGCAUGCCUAACACAUGCAAGUCGAACGAGACCUUCGGGUCUAGUGGCGCACGGGUGCGUAACGCGUGGGAAUCUGCCCUUGGGUUCGGAAUAACAGUUGGAAACGACUGCUAAUACCGGAUGAUGACGUAAGUCCAAAGAUUUAUCGCCCCGGGAUGAGCCCGCGUAGGAUUAGCUAGUUGGUGGGGUAAAGGCCUACCAAGGCGACGAUCCUUAGCUGGUCUGAGAGGAUGAUCAGCCACACUGGGACUGAGACACGGCCCAGACUCCUACGGGAGGCAGCAGUGGGGAAUAUUGGACAAUGGGCGAAAGCCUGAUCCAGCAAUGCCGCGUGAGUGAUGAAGGCCUUAGGGUUGUAAAACUCUUUUACCCGGGAUGAUAAUGACAGUACCGGGAGAAUAAGCCCCGGCUAACUCCGUG
This 433-nucleotide ribosomal RNA is filed under the name uncultured bacterium. Its description in RNAcentral is "partial 16S ribosomal RNA". It matches the Rfam family "Bacterial small subunit ribosomal RNA", at positions 29 to 507 of the family's 1533-position model. The record is from RNAcentral.